RNAcentral lists this ribosomal RNA (496 nucleotides) under uncultured bacterium. Its description in RNAcentral is "partial 16S ribosomal RNA". It matches the Rfam family "Bacterial small subunit ribosomal RNA", at positions 28 to 507 of the family's 1533-position model. The record is from RNAcentral.
GAUGAACGCUGGCGGCGUGCCUAAUACAUGCAAGUCGAGCGAACAGACGAGGAGCUUGCUCCUCUGACGUUAGCGGCGGACGGGUGAGUAACACGUGGAUAACCUACCUAUAAGACUGGGAUAACUUCGGGAAACCGGAGCUAAUACCGGAUAAUAUAUUGAACCGCAUGGUUCAAUAGUGAAAGACGGUUUUGCUGUCACUUAUAGAUGGAUCCGCGCCGCAUUAGCUAGUUGGUAAGGUAACGGCUUACCAAGGCAACGAUGCGUAGCCGACCUGAGAGGGGGACCGGCACACUGGAACUGAGGAACGGGCCCAACUCCCUCGGGGAGCCACCGUUAGGAAACUUUCGGAAUGGGCGAAAGCCUGACGGAGCAACGCCGCGUGAGUGAUGAAGGUCUUCGGAUCGUAAAACUCUGUUAUUAGGGAAGAACAAAUGUGUAAGUAACUAUGCACGUCUUGACGGUACCUAAUCAGAAAGCCACGGCUAACUACGUG